UCCCAAGCAGGCUCCACACUGUCCGGACUCGGGGCUCAGACUCAUGAAACCGUUGAGAUCAUGACCUGAGCCGAAACCAAGAGUUGGAUGCUUAACCAACGGAGCCACCCAGGUACCCCUAGGACAAGAUAUAUCUUUAGCUUACCAGCAAUAUAAGUCAUGUUCUCUGAGUCUCCGUUUCCACAUCGGAAACAUGGGCAUAAUAACACUGCGUACAGCUAUCAUGAAGAGAUAAUGAACGAUUCAAAGAGGUAACUUAGUGCCUGCCACAUAGCAGGUGCCCAAUCAAUAUUAGCUAUUACUUUUAUUGUAUUUAUUCAAAAGUAAACUAAGUCUCUCCUUUCCAGGUAUAAAUAUAAGCUGGCCAAAAAUAGCAUUUAAAAAAUGUGUAAGAGGACACAGACGUUUUCUAAGGGAGAGGGCAGUUUCGGUUUCCCCUCAGUGGUCCUCGCACUGUGUGGAGGAGAGGAGAGGAACCUGUCUCUGGUUGUGGGUACCAUGUUGUAGGAAACGGUUUGGGGGAGGGGCCGCAUGAGUUUCUCUCAACGUGGCUGCUCAGUGACGCUCACCUACAUUCAGCUUUAGGAAGGGGCUCCACACUGUAGCACAGACCUGGUACUUCCCCCACACUGUCGGAGAGCCUGUACCCGGACACAUGGGAGGCUCCCACACAGGCCUGCGUGACUGCCCCCCCCCCCCCGCCACCCCUUCCUGGGAAGGGGAAGGGUGGGCAAGCUCUGUGACUCACUCCCUGGCUCUGUGCCCUCUCGCUGAGUCACAAUGUAAUUGAUCCCUCCCUGCGCCAGGUUUCUACUCUCAUGUGACCCAAAGCAGGGUCAUUUCCAGACCAGGGUUGGGGAGGCCUGGCUGGGGAGAGGCAAUCCCGGGAAGGAGGGGCAGACCAUCAGAACCGAGGAUGGCACUGAGCCUUAACAUCACACAUCCAUUUUGGAUACUCCGGGAGCCAGGUCAGGGGACCUCCUAAAGCCCUGCAGCUCUGAAACUCUAUGAAAAUUCAUCUCCUUGUUUCCUAUCUAAUUUAAAUCUUGCAAUCACCGCUGGGAAGUGAGCUGUAUCAUCUUGAGAAAUCAGACCACAGAGUCGGGCCUGCAGCUGGCAGGCUAGGUCAUCUUUAAUCGCUUAACCCUUCAUAUCAAAGGAUGGGUUGUAGCAGCAGAUUCUUCCUCAAGAAUUUGCCGUGGCAGAUUUUCUCAAGGAAAAGCUGGGAGUUAAAAUGAAGCAGAGUAUGUACAGCAAAAACCUUGCCUUAAAUGCACAUUAACAAGUCAAGUGUGGGCAGUGCUGGCGUUCUCCAGUGAUACUUUACUGAGGCCUUGGAUAGAAAGCCAAGAAGAAACCAGCCCAGGGAGGAUGCUGAGGAUGCUGCACUGUGACUUGCUCCUCAGCAGCGAAAGGAUUCCCCUCAUCCCCGCUUCUAGCUCGUCUUCAUGGGGUGGGCAUCACUUCCGCACCUGUUACCCAGGAGCGCACCCCGGGCAUCUUGACUCCUUGAAGAACAGUACCUAUGAAAUGCGGCUCUGAGAGAAACAAGAUUCUCUUCGCUGCCUGAGGCCUGCCUUUCGGGAACCUGCCACCUCUUUGGAUAAUUGACUCUAGGGAUGCUUGUCCCUCUCAAGGGAGACCACGUGCACUUCCAGGGACAAGACUUUUACCCUGCAGACCACAACAGGGUAUCCGGAUGUAAUUAUAAUGAUUGGCCUAAUCGAGAUGGCUCUACUCACAUGUAAAAGCAGAGGUUGUGUGAGAAAAUUCUGUGUGUGUGUGUGUGUGUGUGUGUGUGUGUGUAAAUGCAAGAAUGUUGGCUCAGAAGUCAGGGCACAUGACUUUUACAGUUCCAGCUCCAGUCCUAUCUUUUUAAACAAAUUUUUAAAUAGUUUUUAUUUAUUUAUUCAUUUAAGUGAUCAGUACACCCAACAUGGAGCUUAAAUUCACAAUCCCAAGAUCAAGAGUUGCACGCUCUUCUAACUGAGCCAGCCAGGCACCCCAGCUCCAGUCCUGCCUUACAAGAAAUUUCUACUCGGUGUGACCUGAGGGAGCUUAGGGUAGAACCUAAUCUGCUAUUAAUACCAGUCCUUUGGGUCUGAAGGACAUUUUUUUUUUUUUCUAAGAAUCCUGUCUUAACACAGAGGAAUACUCAAACUCCUUUGUUCUUGGUUAACUCCUAAGUGGAAGUUAGCAGACAAGGCAGGGGGUGGAUGCUUUGGAGAUACUAGGGAACUCUGAUGCACAUGUGGACACCAGGGCUUAUUACACUUCAUACUUUAGGUUGUAUCCAGGCCUGGACCUGCCCAGCUUUCUUGCAAAUAAAUACAUGUCACAUACUGCUCAAAAGCAUGUGCUACAUCAGUUAGGUCAGAGGCUCAAUAUGACUGAUCUUUCUUCUUUUUGUUUUCAUGUGGUAGAUUUAAGGAUAUUAUGUGUAGGAGAGAAAAAAAUGAUUGGAUUAAGUAUAAUUAACAUGAAAGAUAUAUUAGCAUAUAAUAUACAUAUAACAUAUAAUAUAGUAUAUUAACAUAUAAUAAUUAAGUAUAUUAUUAUUAACAUGAAAAUAACUGGCCUUAUUAAGUACUGGCAAUUGCCAAGCCCUAUAUGAAGCCCCUUAUCCAAUAUUAUUUAUCCAAUAAUCCAGUAGUAGAAUUACUAUUCCAGUUUUCCAGAUAAGGAAGCUGAGAUCCUUAACUAAAAGGUUGAACUGUCUCAUCUAUGGUUGCUGCUAAGUGUUGGAAGUAAACCUGAAUAUAGCAGGCCUGUCUGGUGUUAAAGCACUGCCUUUAUUUUUACUUAAAUUUAUUUUGAACUAUUUCAAUCACACAGAAAACUUUAGAGAACAACACAAUAGACACUCAUGUUCCUAUCACCCAAUGUUAUUAGAUCUUAAUAUUCUGUCAUACUUGCUUUAUAUUUCAGGGUAUUUUUUAAAGGUAGGAAAUUUGUCUUUUUAAAAUUUGUGUGUAGAAAUUCUUUGUAGAGUCUGGAUGUUAAUUAUAUGAGUUGCAAUUUAUUUAUGAUAAGCAGAAAGUUUGCAUUUAUUUAAAUGUAAUCAACUGUUUACGGUUGAGCUUUUUAGUCUUGUUAGGAUUUUUUCUGGUUAGUGAUUGGUGGGUCUUAUUUUUGAAAUGUUUUUCUUUGUUAUUACCAAGAUAGCCUCCUUUUUCAGUUUUUUAGAGCGUUUCUUCCCACACCUAUCUGGAAUUUAAUGUUUGUGAAUACAGUGAAGUGGAGAUCUACUUUCAUCCUUCCAAGAUGGAGCAGGGCUUACCCCAGGACACUUCAUUCACCCUCGUUCUCCUCUGUGCCGUAUGAAAGUGGCUUCUCUGCUCUGUGUUCUGUCUCAUUGUUCUGUGGUCUGGGGCUGUGCCAGCACCAAACUAUUGCUUUGUUAGAAAACUCGAUAUGGGCAGGGCACAUCUCUUCAUGUCAUUCUUCUGCUUGUCCUUAGGUAAUUUGGACUUCUUACUCAUGCAUGUUAGGAUCAGCUUGUGUAGCUCCAUAAAAAGCCCCAUCAGAAUUUGGAUUGUAAUUUCAUUGAAUUAAUAUAUUAAUUUGGGGGUGGAAUUGAGCCUUUAUACAAUCGAGCCUUCCCAGGCCUGCACACAGUAUAGCUUUCCAUUUGUGGGAGUUUCUUUCAUGAUUCCCAGUAACAUUUUAGAAAAUUUCUCUAUAAAGUUCUUACGAAGAUUUUUUUCACUUUUAUUCUUGAGGAGUUCAUCAUUUUUCUUGCUGUUGUAAAUGAGAUAUUUUUCCUAUUAUUUCUUCACAUUAGCGUAUAGGAACGUUGUUAGCUCUUUAAAGAUUGCUUUUUAUACAUGAGAAUUGCUUAAUUUUCUUAUUUGUUCUAA
Molecule: long non-coding RNA, 3860 nt
Organism: Neofelis nebulosa (Clouded leopard)
Lineage: Eukaryota; Metazoa; Chordata; Mammalia; Carnivora; Felidae
Exons: 4
Source: RefSeq, a predicted model, not a curated record